This 328-nucleotide ribosomal RNA is filed under the name uncultured eukaryote. RNAcentral describes it as "partial 18S ribosomal RNA". It matches the Rfam family "Eukaryotic small subunit ribosomal RNA", at positions 1470 to 1796 of the family's 1831-position model. The record is from RNAcentral.
CCCUUAGAUGUCCUGGGCCGCACGCGCGUUACACUGAUGCAUUCAACGAGCUUAUAACCUUGGCCGAGAGGCCUGGGCAAUCUUGUUAACGUGCAUCGUGAUAGGGAUAGAUUAUUGAAAUUAUUAAUCCUGAACGAGGAAUUCCUAGUAAACGCAGAUCAUCAAUCUGCAUUGAUUACGUCCCUGCCCUUUGUACACACCGCCCGUCGCACCUACCGAUUGGAUGGUCCGGUGAAGCCUCGGGAUUGUGGUUCUUGCCGCUUUAUUGUGGCGCGACCGCGAGAACUUGUCUAAACCUUAUCAUCUAGAGGAAGGUGAAGUCGUAACA